Molecule: long non-coding RNA, 1705 nt
Organism: Oncorhynchus tshawytscha (Chinook salmon)
Lineage: Eukaryota; Metazoa; Chordata; Actinopteri; Salmoniformes; Salmonidae
Source: Ensembl
GUGGGAUCCACUAGUGGUUCUGGGGGGGUAGUGCUUUUGUGACAACAAUUUUGUGCCACCCCCCUAAAUGUGGAGUUUGAAAUUAUUUUUACAUAACUAAUUUUUGCUAUCAUUCUUUUUUUUACAUCCAUUAUUAGACAGUGGCAGAUGAUGAUUAAUGAACAUGGUGUUCCUGCAAUGCAGUGAAUAAAACGAUAUGACAACGUCUAAUGUAGCUGGCCCCUCUAACAGUACAACUGGCCCAGCUUGGCCCCCCCAGUUGAAAUGGUCUAGAACCACCACUAGUAGGAUCUUCCACAGCCCAGAGGUGCAGAAAUCGUACUGCCAGAGGAGUUGGGGAGAUCAGAAUGGGCAUUCUGUUUCAUGUUGGUAUUGUCAAGUGCUAGCCCGUCUCCAGAUCCAACCUGACACCAGGGUUGUGUUCAUUGGGCACCAAAUGGAAGAACAUCAACUGAAAUGCGAAGAGAGAGAGAGGAGGAGGAGGAUGAGAGGAAGAGGAGGAGAGCACUGAAGACGUCUGCUUACAAGUCGACUGCCUCCACAUGAGAGGGGAGAUUCAGUCCAUCGUCAGCCCCUUACUGUAUGUGUGUGUGUCACAAGUGACACUGACUCUCUUGCUAGACUAGACUGCCAUUCUGCCUUUAUAUUUAUAUUAGCACCAUGUCUUUUUAUUUUGCCAUCAUCCCCUAUUUACAAGUGCCUUUCACUCAAGUGUGUUAUCGACCAUGAUUGCAUUCACCUAACGUCUGACAGUCUCACGUGUGAAAUGGACUUGCAAGAACUAUUUGUUGCUCGCACAGUGUAAAUUGACUAAGAGACAGCUGUUAAAAUCCCUAUCACCCCCCGCCCCCAAACUAUAGAAAAGGGGAAUGAACACUUACCUAUGGUGUGACCUGCUCCUGCUCCUAGACUACUGCCCCUUGCCACCGUUCGCCUACUCUGUGGGAAAAAGACAACUCUACAACGCUUUCACUCUACAUUUCUUGCGUGUGACUGUGACUCCACCACUGAUUUGCCCUGGCAUAGGAUAAGGGACAGCUGGCAGAGCCAUCACCGAGCCAGACUACCGAGGGGAACUCGCGCAAUAGCACUAGCUAAAGGAAAGUGCUUAUUUCAAGUGUGUGAGUUUCCACAUUGUGAUCAGUAUACCCCCUCAUUGUGCUUCUUGUGUUUCCCCGCCAGUUGCUGUCUCGACUCCCUCACGCAACCAGCCGACCCUCAUCCCGAACACGAAACAACGAGCCUCUGGACUGGACUCGCAAGGGCGCCCCCACUGGUUGUAGUAGGUGGAACAGAAUUCCCCCAUUUCUUUGGACUGAACUGCUUUAGUAUGGUAACAUUGACUGGGAGUUUUCUAACAGCCUUGAUGUGUUUUGUUAAGAGUAACUUCUGCUGUUUAGCUAACAGGCUCAUUUCUUGGUUAAAUCUGGGAUUGUAAAUUCUGUUUACGCUGAUUAGCUGCUGCAGUUUUUUUUUCUUUCUUGGGCUCCGUGACAAACGGGCACGACUACUUGUUUCGGGCCCUUACUUCCCGUCGUUUUUGUGCAAUACCGCCCUAGUUUUCCCGCGGCCUUGUGUGAAUACAUUCUCUUGUCAGCUGACCUCAAUGUAAGUUUUAUAUUUAGUAUGGUAACAUAGGAAACAACCAAUCAUUUUAAGCCAUUGUUGUAAAAGCCAAACCUGUAAUAAAGAACCUUUGAUGGUA